This 459-nucleotide ribosomal RNA is filed under the name uncultured bacterium. Its description in RNAcentral is "partial 16S ribosomal RNA". It matches the Rfam family "Bacterial small subunit ribosomal RNA", at positions 338 to 795 of the family's 1533-position model. The record is from RNAcentral.
CCUACGGGUGGCAGCAGUGAGGAAUAUUGGUCAAUGGCCGGAAGGCUGAACCAGCCAAGCCGCGUGAAGGACGAAGGUGCCAAGCAUUGUAAACUUCUUUUGUCAAGGGACAAAAUCAGGCUCGAGAGCCUGACCGAGGGUACUUGAAGAAAAAGCAUCGGCUAACUCCGUGCCAGCAGCCGCGGUAAUACGGAGGAUGCGAGCGUUAUCCGGAUUUAUUGGGUUUACAGGGUGCGUAGGCGGACUGUUAAGUCAGCGGUAAAAGCCCGGGGCUCAACCCCGGCGAGCCGUUGAAACUGGCUGUCGUGAGGUGGCGAGAGGUAUGCGGAAUGCGCGGUGUAGCGGUGAAAUGCUUAGAUAUUGCGCAGAACUCCGAUUGCGAAGGCAGCAUACCGGCGGCACACUGACGCUGAGGCACGAAAGCGUGGGUAUCGAACAGGAUUAGAUACCCCUGUAGUC